GAUGAACGCUGGCGGCGUGCCUAAUACAUGCAAGUCGAGCGAAUGGAUUGAGAGCUUGCUCUUAUGAAGUUAGCGGCGGACGGGUGAGUAACACGUGGGUAACCUGCCCAUAAGACUGGGAUAACUCCGGGAAACCGGGGCUAAUACCGGAUAACAUUUUGAACCGCAUGGUUCGAAAUUGAAAGGCGGCUUCGGCUGUCACUUAUGGAUGGACCCGGGUCGCAUUAGCUAGUUGGUGAGGUAACGGCUCACCAAGGCAACGAUGCGUAGCCGACCUGAGAGGGUGAUCGGCCACACUGGGACUGGGACACGGCCCAGACUCCUACGGGAGGCAGCAGGAGGGAAUCUUCCGCAAUGGACGAAAGUCUGACGGAGCAACGCCGCGUGAGUGAUGAAGGCUUUCGGGUCGUAAAACUCUGUUGUUAGGGAAGAACAAGUGCUAGUUGAAUAGGCUGGCACCUUGACGGUACCUAACCAGAAAGCCACGGCUAACUACGUGCCAGCAGCCGCCGUAA
Molecule: ribosomal RNA, 515 nt
Filed under: uncultured bacterium
Lineage: Bacteria
Description: partial 16S ribosomal RNA
Rfam family: Bacterial small subunit ribosomal RNA
Source: RNAcentral